AAAAAUAAUAUUAAAAAAUAAUUUAUCACAUACCAUAUUAAAUUUCUCUCUUUUAUCAUAAAUUAAAAAAAAAUUCUUACAUAAGCCUGAUUUAUCAUUAAUUCAAGAUAUAGAAUAUACAGUGGGACUCGCCUAUUAAAUACAAAGAUCUCACCUAUAUGUUUGUAUUUUGAGUAUACGAAUAACUGAAUUUAGGCAAAAAUUUCCCUUCAAAUAAUAACCAAAAAUUAAAAUUCUUAAUUUACUAUAGAUAGAUCUCUCAAGCUAGGUUGUGCUAUAUUAAACUAUAAUUUUCUAGUGUAUUUUUUUUUUCUUAAUAAAAAAUCUAUGCAUUGAUCCCACCAUGCACCCUUUCGCAUAUCCCAUUAAUUUGUUAGUGUCAAAGUUUAUGUCAUUAUACCUAAUGAAGAUUAUCCUCCAUGAUCAUGAAGAAAUGGGAACAAAACCAUUUUUUACUCAAUUAAAAUCAGAUUAUUCACACCAAAAUUAAGAUAUUUACGGACUUGUGAACCAGGGUAAUCCUUGAAGUUUAACAAUGAACAGUGAAAAUAUAUAUUGGUUUGAAAAGAAAAGAAGGUGAGUAAAUUAAGCAUCAAACCUGGAAAACUUGGUCAGAUGAAGCCAUUGAAGUUGGAUUCUGCAGCAUAGGUUUUGGUCUGUUUUCUUGGCUGUUAUUAUGAUUAUUGAUCUCUUUUUUCUUGAUGGAAGAAACAAGAAGUGAUGAUGAUCUGUUAGCAGCUGCAGGUGGAAGAAAACUCAUUGGAGACUCUACAAGUCUAGAGUACUCAACACCAUUAUUAGUACUUUUCUUCAAUAAUAAUCUUGAUGAUGAUGAGGAUGAUGAUGAUGGAUUAUCAAGAAGCUGCUGGAGGGUUCUCUCAGGCCUUCUUGGCACGAUCACCGAGCGAGGAUCAUUCAAUGUGCAUACUGCAGUUGCUGCCGUAGAUUGGCACAUGAAGCCCCUCAUCUUCCUGCCUGAUUUCUUGGUGGUCAUGGCGAAAAACACAAGGUGUUUGAUAGUUGCCUAAGAGAGAAGGUAAGGGUAGAAGUGAUGAUUAAAAAUGGGAGGGGGAGGAUGGAGAUCUCUGUAGGUAGGAGCGUAAAUAAAGGGGUAGCAUUUGCAUGCUAUAUUUAUGACUGAGCUAACCCUUUGCUUCUGUACUCCCUCUUUCUCUCUCUCCCUGUGUGCCUAUGUUUUGAAUGCUUUCAACUUCCUGUCUUUUUCUUUGCUUAAUGUUGAGAAACUGACUGCUUUGUCCUACAGUGCCCUUUUGAUAUUUUCGACUAAUAAAAUAUUUGAUUUUGGC
This 1307-nucleotide unclassified non-coding RNA is filed under the name Hevea brasiliensis (rubber tree). Lineage: Eukaryota; Viridiplantae; Streptophyta; Magnoliopsida; Malpighiales; Euphorbiaceae. The record is from RNAcentral.